Molecule: ribosomal RNA, 492 nt
Filed under: uncultured bacterium
Lineage: Bacteria
Description: partial 16S ribosomal RNA
Rfam family: Bacterial small subunit ribosomal RNA
Source: RNAcentral
AGUGAACGCUGGCGGUAGGCCUAACACAUGCAAGUCGAACGGCAGCACAGUAAGAUCUUGCUCUUACGGGUGGCGAGUGGCGGACGGGUGAGGAAUACAUCGGAAUCUACUUUUUCGUGGGGGAUAACGUAGGGAAACUUACGCUAAUACCGCAUACGACCUACGGGUGAAAGCAGGGGAUCUUCGGACCUUGCGCGAUUGAAUGAGCCGAUGUCGGAUUAGCUAGUUGGCGGGGUAACGGCCCACCAAGGCGACGAUGCGUAGCUGAUCUGAGAGGAUGAUCAGCCACACUGGAACUGAGACACGGUCCAGACUCCUACGGGAGGCAGCAGUAGGGAAUAUUGCGCAAUGGGCGAAAGCCUGAUCCAGCAAUGCCGCGUGGGUGAAGAAGGUCUUCGGGUUGUAAAGCCCUGUUGUUAGGAAAGAAAAGCAGCAGAAUAAUCCCCCGAUGUUUUGACGGUACCCAAAGAAUAAGCAACGGCUAACUUCGUG